AUUGAACGCUGGCGGCAUGCCUUACACAUGCAAGUCGAACGGCAGCACGGGUGCUUGCACCUGGUGGCGAUUGGCGCACGGGUGAGUAAUACAUCUGAACAUGUCCUGUAGUGGGGGAUAGCCCGGCGAAAGCCGGAUUAAUACCGCAUACGAUCUACGUAUGAAAGCGGGGUCCCUUCGGGCCUCGCGCUAUACGGUUAGCCGUUGGCUGAUUAGCUAGUUGGUGGGGUAAAGGCCUACCAAGGCGACGAUCAGUAGCUGGUCUGAGAGGACGACCAGCCACACUGGGACUGAGACACGGCCCAGACUCCUACGGGAGGCAGCAGUGGGGAAUUUUGGACAAUGGGCGAAAGCCUGAUCCAGCAAUGCCGCGUGUGUGAAGAAGGCCUUCGGGUUGUAAAGCACUUUUGUCCGGAAAGAAAUCCUUGGCCCUAAUACGGUCGGGGGAUGACGGUACCGGAAGAAUAAGCACCGGCUAACUACGUG
This 486-nucleotide ribosomal RNA is filed under the name uncultured bacterium. RNAcentral's name for it is "partial 16S ribosomal RNA". It matches the Rfam family "Bacterial small subunit ribosomal RNA", at positions 30 to 507 of the family's 1533-position model. The record is from RNAcentral.